This is a long non-coding RNA of Bombina bombina (fire-bellied toad), 389 nucleotides long. RefSeq lists it as uncharacterized. The transcript is spliced from 3 exons. NCBI's taxonomy places the organism in Eukaryota, Metazoa, Chordata, Amphibia, Anura, Bombinatoridae. The record is from RefSeq and is a predicted model, not a curated record.
ACCUUGCAAUGAAGCUCCAUAUCAAGAAAAGUAGUUGCAUACUAAUAGGGGAAAUGCAAAAGGACAAGGUACCCACAAUGCAGCAGAUAUCAGAUUUCGUACAGACAAGGCUACGGGCAAGUGGGAUGCUAUUUUAGCAAGCCAUUCACUAAGCAGUACAAAGAAAAUCAACAGACUCCUUCAGGAGUGACACUGUCCCAACUUUACAGCUGAAGAUACUGGAUAACACUGUGCUCGUGCACGUGAAGUUACCUGGGAGCCAUCACUGAUUGGCUAAACUGCAAGUCUGUCAAAAGAACAAAUAAAGGGGCAGUCUGCAGAGGCUUAGAUACAAGAUAAUCACAGAGUCACAAAAACAUUUCCACCAUGUCUGAAAGGUAAGUAAGAUG